UUGGAUUACGCCCUCUGACACCUCGCGAU
This 29-nucleotide small RNA is filed under the name Bombyx mori (domestic silkworm). RNAcentral describes it as "ovarian small RNA-1630". Lineage: Eukaryota; Metazoa; Arthropoda; Insecta; Lepidoptera; Bombycidae. The record is from RNAcentral.